This 406-nucleotide ribosomal RNA is filed under the name uncultured bacterium. RNAcentral's name for it is "partial 16S ribosomal RNA". It matches the Rfam family "Bacterial small subunit ribosomal RNA", at positions 30 to 526 of the family's 1533-position model. The record is from RNAcentral.
AUUGAACGCUGGCGGCAGGCCUAACGCAUGCAAGUCGAACGAGUGGCGGACGGGUGAGUAAUGUCUGGGAAACUGCCCGAUGGAGGGGGAUAACUACUGGAAACGGUAGCUAAUACCGCAUACCAUCGGAUGUGCCCAGAUGGGAUUAGCUAGUAGGUGGGGGAACGGCUCACCUAGGCGACGAUCCCUAGCUGCUCUGAGAGGAUGACCAGACACACUGGAACUGAUAGACGGUCCAGACUCCUACGGGAGGCAGCAGUGGGGAAUAUUGCACAAGGGGCGCAAGCCUGAUGCAGCCAUGCCGCGUGUAUGAAGAAGGCCUUCGGGUUGUAAAGUACUUUCAGCGAGGAGGCGUUACUCGCAGAAGAAGCACCGGCUAACUCCGUGCCAGCAGCCGCGGUAAUAC